This 500-nucleotide ribosomal RNA is filed under the name uncultured bacterium. Its description in RNAcentral is "partial 16S ribosomal RNA". It matches the Rfam family "Bacterial small subunit ribosomal RNA", at positions 28 to 507 of the family's 1533-position model. The record is from RNAcentral.
GACGAACGCUGGCGGCGUGCUUAACACAUGCAAGUCGAACGGGUCUGCCCUGUUUUUUGCGGGGUGGGUCAGUGGCGAACGGGUGAGUAACACGUGAGUAACCUGCCCCUCACUUCUGGAUAACCGCUUGAAAGGGUGGCUAAUACGGGGUGUUCUGGCUGUGCCGCAUGGUGUGGCUGGGAAAGAUUCACUUUUGUGGUGUUUUGGUGGGGGAUGGGCUCGCGGCCUAUCAGCUUGUUGGUGGGGUGAUGGCCUGCCAAGGCUUUGACGGGUAGCCGGCCUGAGAGGGUGGGCGGUCACACUGGGACUGAGAUACGGCCCAGACUCCUGGGGGAGGCAGCAGUGGGGGGUAUUGCACAAUGGGCGGAAGGCUGAUGCAGCGACGUCGCGUGAGGGAUGGAGGCCUUCGGGUUGUGAACCUCUUUCGCCGGUGAAGAAGGUCCUGCUCUUUGUGGUGGGGUUGACGGUAGCCGGGUUAUGAAGCGCCGGCUAACUACGUG